CCGGCACCGGUUCACCCCGCACGGGGACCCGGGGCC
This 36-nucleotide non-coding RNA is filed under the name Amycolatopsis decaplanina DSM 44594. RNAcentral's name for it is "L31-Actinobacteria ribosomal protein leader". It matches the Rfam family "L31-Actinobacteria ribosomal protein leader". The record is from RNAcentral. Lineage: Bacteria; Bacillati; Actinomycetota; Actinomycetes; Pseudonocardiales; Pseudonocardiaceae.